Leopardus geoffroyi (Geoffroy's cat) is the source of this 904-nucleotide long non-coding RNA. RefSeq lists it as uncharacterized. NCBI's taxonomy places the organism in Eukaryota, Metazoa, Chordata, Mammalia, Carnivora, Felidae. The transcript is spliced from 5 exons. The record is from RefSeq and is a predicted model, not a curated record.
GUAUCGGCACCAGCGUUGACAGAGAUUUGCUCUUAGAUGUUAUCAGGUGUAUGGGGACCAAGGAUGUUUUCCCACCGGAGAAUGAUUAACUUUCUUGUCUCCCCCUUGGAGUAGGAACAUAGCUUUAGUUUACUCAGAUGCAAGGUGAAAUACAGAACAUGAGGAAACGGGACCGGCGGAGACAUAGCCAAGAUGGAGCGUUUCCAAAAUGGACUCCCUUCACUUCCCCUACGUCAAUGCCUUGAAGGAUUACAAAAUGAUAAAUGAAGAAAAAAACAUGAAGGCAUCCAGACAGUAAGAAACAGAAGUUCAGAGAAAGGACUAAGGCCAUUAGGAAAAGGUAAAAAAACCGUUCAGGUGUCACAGAAUGAACACAAACCUGAGAGUUUUCUGCUCUGGGUGCCCCUUCCAAUCGCUGUGACAAUGGACUUCUUUGGACCUCGGUUUCCUCAACUACAAAUCAAAGACAUGGACAGACGGUCAGCCAACCUUUGAUGAGGCAAGUAAAGAGGCAAAAUGUUGGGAUUCCGGCAUGCCAACAAAUGGACCCUAUCACUGGAAUAAGAGAAAUUUCAGAUUACAGGAGUUAAUAUGUUUCAUAAGAUGAGUUUUUCCAGAAAACAAUGACAAAACCGGAAACUCUUCAUGAAGGCAAAGAAUGAGAAGGGAAGACACGACCACAAGCUAGGGUUUUGAGACAGGAAACCGAAGGCACCCAUGAGAGAAAAAGCUGCUUUUUCCCUUUGCUUCUUUUCCGACUUCUAUUCGUGCUAGGACCUGCUCCCCCACUCCACUCCACACAUGCCUCGGGAUGCAAAUAGCCCAUGUCCUCCUUGUAAGGGACAAGGAGUUCGUGAUUUCUCUAGAAUACCACGCAUCGAAGGAAAGACCAGGUGAGAAUGAU